This 1322-nucleotide ribosomal RNA is filed under the name Sinomonas sp. FMS_60mD15. RNAcentral's name for it is "bacterial SSU rRNA". It matches the Rfam family "Bacterial small subunit ribosomal RNA", at positions 82 to 1411 of the family's 1533-position model. Lineage: Bacteria; Bacillati; Actinomycetota; Actinomycetes; Micrococcales; Micrococcaceae. The record is from RNAcentral.
CGGGGGUGGAUUAGUGGCGAACGGGUGAGUAACACGUGAGCAACCUGCCCUUGACUCUGGGAUAAGCCUGGGAAACUGGGUCUAAUACCGGAUAGGACCCCUUGCCGCAUGGUGGGGGGUGGAAAGCCUUGUGCGGUCUUGGAUGGGCUCGCGGCCUAUCAGCUUGUUGGUGGGGUGAUGGCCUACCAAGGCGACGACGGGUAGCCGGCCUGAGAGGGUGACCGGCCACACUGGGACUGAGACACGGCCCAGACUCCUACGGGAGGCAGCAGUGGGGAAUAUUGCACAAUGGGCGCAAGCCUGAUGCAGCGACGCCGCGUGGGGGAUGACGGCCUUCGGGUUGUAAACCCCUUUCGGCAGGGAACAAGCCGCUUCGGUGGUGAGGGUACCUGCGGAAGAAGCGCCGGCUAACUACGUGCCAGCAGCCGCGGUAAUACGUAGGGCGCGAGCGUUAUCCGGAAUUAUUGGGCGUAAAGAGCUCGUAGGCGGUUUGUCGCGUCUGCUGUGAAAGCCCGGGGCUCAACCCCGGGUCUGCAGUGGGUACGGGCAGGCUGGAGUGCAGUAGGGGAGACUGGAAUUCCUGGUGUAGCGGUGAAAUGCGCAGAUAUCAGGAGGAACACCGAUGGCGAAGGCAGGUCUCUGGGCUGUAACUGACGCUGAGGAGCGAAAGCAUGGGGAGCGAACAGGAUUAGAUACCCUGGUAGUCCAUGCCGUAAACGUUGGGCACUAGGUGUGGGGGCCAUUCCACGGUUCCGCGCCGCAGCUAACGCAUUAAGUGCCCCGCCUGGGGAGUACGGCCGCAAGGCUAAAACUCAAAGGAAUUGACGGGGGCCCGCACAAGCGGCGGAGCAUGCGGAUUAAUUCGAUGCAACGCGAAGAACCUUACCAAGGCUUGACAUGUGCCGGACCGUCCCAGAGAUGGGGCUUCCCUUCGGGGCCGGUUCACAGGUGGUGCAUGGUUGUCGUCAGCUCGUGUCGUGAGAUGUUGGGUUAAGUCCCGCAACGAGCGCAACCCUCGUUCCAUGUUGCCAGCACUUCGGGUGGGGACUCAUGGGAGACUGCCGGGGUCAACUCGGAGGAAGGUGGGGACGACGUCAAAUCAUCAUGCCCCUUAUGUCUUGGGCUUCACGCAUGCUACAAUGGCCGGUACAAAGGGUUGCGAUACUGUGAGGUGGAGCCAAUCCCAGAAAGCCGGUCUCAGUUCGGAUUGGGGUCUGCAACUCGGCCCCAUGAAGUCGGAGUCGCUAGUAAUCGCAGAUCAGCAACGCUGCGGUGAAUACGUUCCCGGGCCUUGUACACACCGCCCGUCAAGUCACGAAAGU